Hyaena hyaena (striped hyena) is the source of this 3326-nucleotide RNA transcript. It is a transcript of the gene named UBA domain containing 2, with no coding region annotated. The record is from RefSeq and is a predicted model, not a curated record. NCBI's taxonomy places the organism in Eukaryota, Metazoa, Chordata, Mammalia, Carnivora, Hyaenidae. The transcript is spliced from 12 exons.
AGUCCGCUCCCACGCGGCUCCACCCGGCCCCAGGCGGCGCUGAGUAUUUAAGCGGAGCUUCCAGGAGUUACACGCUUUCGCCUUAGUCCCCAUUCCUCUCCCAAAGGGGGACCCGCGGCAGUCGGAAAAACGCGGACACACGGAUCGCCCCAGCUGCGGACCGACUUCCCUUCCCAGGCAGGAAGGAGGGGCGGGAGAAGCGGUGCGCCCCACGGGCCGCGCAUGCGCCUCUCACAGACAGCCCCAGAGUGGAAUCCUGUUGCCAGAUUCGCCGCCACGCCAGGAGUGCGCCUGCGUCGUCGCCGGGUCCCUCCACCUCCACUUCCCCUCCCCCUGUCCCCCGCGGGGGCUCCGGGGCCGGCGGGACCAUGUUCACCAGCACCGGCUCCAGUGGGCUUUAUAAGGCCCCUCUGUCCAAGGGCCUUCUGCUCGUCCCCAGCGCCCUGUCCCUGUUGCUGGCCCUCCUCCUGCCGCACUGUCAGAGGUUUUUCGUGUAUGACCUCCAAGCCAUCAAGGACGACUUCCAGAUUUGGAGGUUGAUAUGUGGAAGAAUAAUUUGCCUUGAUUUGAAAGAUACUUUCUGCAGUAGUCUGCUUAUUUAUAAUUUUAGGAUAUUUGAAAGAAGAUAUGGAAGCAGAAAAUUUGCGUCCUUUUUGCUGGGUUCCUGGGUUUUGUCAGCCUUGGUUGACUUCAUCCUCGUUGAGGCCGUGUGGUAUUCCUUUGGCAUCACUGCGGCCGGGGGUUUGCCUUCUGGAUUCCUGGCACCUGUGUUUGCUCUGUUUGUACCAUUUUACUGCUCCAUACCAAGAGUCCAAGUGGCACAAAUUCUGGGCCCGUUGUCCAUCACAAACAAGACGUUGAUUUAUAUACUAGGACUACAGCUUUUCACCUCUGGUUCCUACAUCUGGAUUGUGGCCAUAAGUGGACUUAUAUCGGGCAUCUGCUACCACAGCAAAACGUUUCCAGUUCACCAGGUUCUCUACGUCCCCAGCUGGAUGGCAAAGUUUUUUUCUUGGACGCUUGAGCCCAUCUUCUCAUCUUCGGAACCCACGGCGGAAGCCAGAAUCGGGAUGGGGGCCACGGUGGACAUCCAGAGACAGCAGAGGAUGGAGCUGCUGGACCGGCAGCUGAUGCUCUCUCAGUUUGCCCAAGUGAGAAGACAGAGGCAGCAGGGAGGAAUGAUCAAUUGGAACCGUCUUUUCCCUCCUUUACGUCAGCGACGAAAUGUAAACUAUCAGGACGGUCGGCAGUCUGAACAAGCGUCCCCUCCUCUAGAGGUUUCCGAGGAACAGGACACGGCCCGGCUGUCCGAGGCCUGAGGGUCCCCUCCAGGGGGCUGCAGCCAGUGCUGAGACUAGGCCUUGGAGGCCUGUGUGGCCAACCUGUCAUCAGCUUCUUCUGGAUUCUAAACCGAAUUCGGAGUCCGUGGAGGGAAGACUCAGUACCAGCUGGAAGUUGUGGCCCAGCACCCUCACCCGCUGGCGGCGGGGGUCUGGCUCCAGGAUGAAUCAGGAUUUGCCAAACAGACACAUUGAUUCCUGCUGGUGAGGUGCCAAGAAGCAGCCCAUCUUGAGCUGUGCUUGAGGUGCUAAUGGUGACUAAGUGGUGACCAUGAAUGUAGCGAUGCCGCACUGUUUGAAGUCGUUAUGAUCGGCCACGUUGCUGGGCAGUGUCAUCGCGUUCGUGGUAACAGAGAGAAGACAGGUGGAGCUGCCCACCUCCUCCUGGGCCAAGUUAACUCCACUGAAGAUGGUGCCUCUUAACUGGAAGGCUGCAAGCACAGGACAGCAGCGGCCAGCCAGUGCCAGGCCUGCACUGGAAGGAGGUGGAUCCCGGGGUGCAGGAACGAAGAAAGCAGCCCCGGCGCCUUUUCUCAGGAGGCUCACGGCACAGUGACAGGAGCCAGGACACAGGGCAAACUUAGGACCUGUGCUGUCCCACGGAUGACAGCUAGUGAGAGGCGGAUUCUGCUUCUGCGGAGGAAGGACUUUCCAUCUUGGCCAGUGAGGGAGGAGUGUUUGUGGUGCUCUGGGAAAGGUGGUUCUUUCCUUGAGCGGGAAAUGAAAGCAGAAGAUUCCCACCUAUCUGUCCACACUGUCCCCCGGCCCAGGGAGUGGGUCUCCCACAUGUGUCGGCCCUUUUCCCCAGGCACCGAGCGACCCUCAGACAACAGCUGUCAGAUGUGUCUGACCACAGCCCACACGAGAGAGGCAGCGCGCAGCAGACACAUGUGUGCGUGAGAACGGAAACGGCGCCUUGUGGAAGGAGGACCCUCGCUGCAUCCUGGUUUGAACGCUGCUCUUGCCUCACUGAGUGUUCACGACCCACUAACGAGGCAUCGCAGCCUCACUUUGGGAAACACGAGCUAGAGCCCCCGCCUCUGAGAAGUGUCUCCUGGUGUCUGCUUCCGCUCAGCUCCUUUAGCGUCUCCCUGAGGCUCCUCGAGGGACGCGCAGUCUGGGUGUGGGCCGUGCACUUUCCCGUCUCCUCCCCUGCCACCCGCUUGGCCCCCCACCCUCCUCCUCCUUCUCUCCUCACUUCUCCCCCCACCCCUGCCCACGCCCACCCCGACCCCCACAGCAUCAGGCGUGUUCUGUCAGCUUCGCACCCAGGGCAUUGUUUUCUGCAGGAAAGAUCAGAAACGGUGACUAAGUCCUCAGUCCACAAAAGCCUCUUUAACCCACAUGUGAAAAUCUCAACACAUAUGAGAAUGUCGUUUUUCACUGUAUGUUAUUACAAACGUAUGUUUCAGCAGAAGUACAAACAAUAGGUUCCUUUGGCUGGUCUGGGGUCAUAAAUCCAUUUGUAACACAUUUGUAAGUGGGGAAUAGGGUAUGCCGAACCUUCCGUGGCCCUGCCUGCUUCAUUGGAAAUCGUAUGUUGAAAGUGCAGGAAACCUCUGUAUUUACAGAUUCGGGAUUUGUGGUCAAGAAAAUGCAAGCCUCGCCCUCCCUGCGCUUCCCUCCAUCCUUCCCCCCCGGUUCUGCCCCAGGCUUCACCUCCCUGUGCGCAGGGCUGCUGCCUGGAGAGCCCCCAGCCAGGACCUUAGCAAAUGUUGCCCCUCCCGAGAGAGGUUUACCGUGUCUGGCCGUGUGAUUCCAGGAACCUGCCUGCAUUUUUGUCAUCGGCAUCUGCAAGCAUCAGAAGUUAAUCUUCAGUUAAGCAACUGUUCACGUGCACAAGGAAACGCGGCUGCGACGUCGUUCACGGGAAUCCGAUCUGACGCUGAAGCAGCGUGCAGUCGUGUUGCGCGGCUCAUGGAGAUGGGAUUUUCCAGGGGUGACGCGUUAGAAGCGCUGAGAGCUUCAAAUAAUGACCUGAAUGUG